UAUGCGGGGACGCGGGUAAGAGCUAGCUGGCUUCCUGUCCUUCAUAAUGCACCCACACCCAAACGACCCCCUGGGGGAGCCCCAAGCUUGCUCGAGAACCCAAAGCACCAGUGAACAGAACCACCUUCCCUGCCACUACGAGAGAGCGGAGGGGUGUUCCAGCACAGCCCCACCCUAGGCGUUAGGCUCCGGUCAGGGCCCACCCGAGUUGGGACUGCGCUAGCCUAGCCUGGAUGGCUGGGCCUUCUUCCUGCCAGUGGCCCAGGCACACGCAGCCUGCACCAUCCGGAUAUAGCCGCCCCAAAGUUAGGAGCCUUGUGAAACACCCACAGAACCAGGACUGAUGGGAGCGGCCUGGGGGAAGAGGUCCAGCGAGGGCAGCACUGACCCCAUCCCUCCACAAAGCCUGGCCCUGGUCACCGAUGCGACGGAUACCUGACCCACGCCGCAAUGUCGCUCACCCGGGGAAGGGAUGGAAAAGUAUUCUUUGGAGAAUAAUUAUCACGAGGACCCCCACCCCAGGCGCGAAACCUGGAGAAUGCGCCCAUUGUCUUCUCCAGGCCUCUCCCGCAGACCCCGCGGAGGUCCCCGCGAAACUGACCAGAAAUGGAUGAAGCCUGGGUGCGGCGGAAACAGAAGCCGGCGGCUAGCGGCUGGAAGGCGCGGGCCUUGGCGAGCGCUGCUCAGCUUCGAGCCUGGAAAAACCUCCCACUCACUAACAAACCCCUCAAACACCGAGGCACAGACUGGCCUCCGGACAGAGCAGCCGCCGAUCGGGCUCCGUCUGCCCAUCCAAGCCAACGCUGGCUUCCGAAUACAUCAUAAUUUGGAAUUAAAUGUGAAAUCCCUCUCCCCGCCCCCUUGCCGCCUCCUCAACUUGCAGCUCCAUCUCCUGCUCGUCCUCCCCUCCACCCCCCAGCGAUAUGCAAAAUGCACUUCUAAAGGACACAAGCACACAGGCACACAACCCAGUUCGGACAGGACCACACACGGUCCAGCCCCAUAGAAGGGAAGCAAAGUAAACACAACCCCACACUGCCCCACAAGCCGACAUGGUCAGGCUCGCACAAUGUCCUACACGAUACAACGAAAUCAGUCCCACGAGAUCGCUCACGGACACACAUCUAACGUAGUCAGGAUCACACACGCCCGACACAACAACGAAACCACCCAAAUACAGUCGCAGAGGCCACACAACCCAACACGCAGAGCCAGACCCGUGUCGAGAAGGAAAAACGAGCAUAAUUGUAUACAACGAUGAAAACGCAGAAGGGCUCGAGGAAUCCAAAGCAACAACCCAAAGAGCGCGGACACCAUCACACUCGGACACACAACCCUUCUGGAAGACCACACUCGGAAGAAGUCAGCAUCGCCGACGGCUCACACACGCAUUCACAACCCCACCGCAUGCAAACAACCACCAAGAAGAAAUGAAAACCAACCACCGCCUCGCGCAUUUCUGUAUAUUGCGUAAGGAAAAAGGGGAAGGAAGGAAGAGAGUCUCCGAGGCGGGAGGGGCGGCGGCGGCGAGCGGAGGGCGUCCGUGGAAAAUGCCCCCCAUCGAAAGAAACCCAGGGAAAAGGAGCGAAGACCUCUUCUGCGAGCGGGGAGAAGGAGAGAGGAACUGAUGGGGAAUUCCGCGGGAGGCCGCAGGUUGCUUUCCCCUAGAAAAAGGCCAGAAUGCUCACGUUUUGCCGCUACGGGGGGAUGCGUGUGGCCAUUUUGAGACCUGGUCCUUAGCGCGGAGGCCCACCCCCGCCCCCGUCCCCGUCCCCGUCCCCCCCGCGCGCCCAGGCUCCUCCAGCGACGCGCGCUAAUCCCGCUCACGUUCUGGGCCUCGUUAGCAUGGGCCGAGGCGCGCCGGGGCCGUGUGCGCCGCCGAGAUAAGGCACUGCCGCGGGUCCGCUCGCCCCCGAUAAGCGCCUCGGCCAUUAUGGGCCAAAUGAUUCAUUUUAAUUUGGCAAUUUCACCGGAGGGAGUGGGGACUGGUUGUGCGGCGCUGGGACCGGCUCCGGAAUGCGCCACGGCGAGAGUUGGGCGCGCAGUCUAGACUCCGUGAGUCCAGCCCCAUUUCUGAUCCCGAAGCCUCUCGGGAACCCGGGCACCCCACAACCUCAGUCCCUCGGCCUGCCUGACACCUUUCUUAAGCGACUCUCAUCCCAGAAUUCCGUCGCUGCCUCUGACACCCAAACCAUCACUCCGGACCCUUCCCUGGCGGUGUUCAUUCUUUUUCCAGUGUCCUAAACACCCGCGUUUCAAUGGGCAGUUUCUCAUCCCAAAAAGCGCCCCAGGUCCCCCCUGCCCCACCCCGCAGCCCCUUCAGCCCUGGCUAUUUUCUGCUCUAACAUGGAGCAUGCUUGCCUCCAGUGUCGUAGACCGAGCUCACAUUCAGCGGCUCUGUGGAGGACGACUGGUGUCAACAGAGCGAUUUAAAUGUCCCUUCUGUUGAGUUUCAGGCUGAGCCCCUAGCCUGAGAACGUCCCUACCCCCAUUAUAUUUUAAACAUUUUAAUGUUGCUACUGAAGAACCGUUCUAAGCACUCUAUAAAUACAGAUUCCUUUCCUUCUCAUAAACAAUCCUAAGAAGCUAGUGCUAUUAUUAUCCUCCAUUUACAGAUGAGGAAACUGUGGCGCAGAGAGUCAAAGAAACUUUACUGAAGUGACAGAUCUAGCAGUGGUGACAACAAUAAUCUCUGGAAACUCACCAGCCCAGAGCCCAGGACGACAUCAUAUGCAUGUGCAUGGGAUUCUGGUUAUUGUCAUAGAGGAGAAAAUUAAGGCACAGAGACAUAACUUGGACAAAGCUCGCAGUGACCCCAGGAAAAGCUGAGACCCAAACUCAAGUAUCCAGUUCCCAGUCCACAAGUCUACCCAUCAUGCCAGGAUGCUUGGUCCUUACAGCAGCUCUGGCUUGGAGCCUAAGAACUAGGGGAAAGCCCCCUCACCUGGUUCCAGAUGGAGUCCCAGUCAAGGAUGGAGCCCAGAGUGUGGUCACAGACUGAGCACUGGCCUCUCCUUGCCACCAGGAUGACUCUCUGUGAAGAUACGGUUAAUUCAGCUCAGGCUGUCCAUUCUGAUCCUCUUGUGCUCUCCGGUGGAAAUCAGCGUGCCCUGUGGAUACAGAUUGAGAUCCUACGUGGCAAGUUUGUCCUGUUAAUCACCGUAUGCUCAGCGUCUAGUUCAGUGCCCAGCAGAAUCAACACUGGAUACCUGUUGAGUGAUUAGGAGUAAAACAGGUGCUGGUGGGGAGAGGAAGAAUGGAGGAAGAAGCUGUUGCUGGGCUGGACGCUAUGGAAGAACACAUGGCUGAUGUCCUCGUUGUUAACUAAAAAUGUAUGACCUUGGCCAGUUGUACCUCAUCUGUGUCUUUCUCAUUAUGUGUAAAAAGGGGCUAAUGAUGCCUGCCAUACAUAUUUCGAUCUGGUUUUGGAUGUGAGGAUUAUAUGAGGAAGUAGGUCAGAAAGCACUCUGAAAAGCGUGAGGCAGUCUGCAACCCUAAGACACUACCAUUAAAUUUAUUUUGCAGGCACAAAGCCCUCUCACUUAAUCUAGGGGCCAGGAAAGGUUCUGCCCUCAUAACAUCUCGAAAAUAAAAGCACAGAAAAUUCUUUGGUUCCUCUAAUUUUCUGGAGCCCGUACGGUAGACGGUUGACUGCCACGAUGUAAAAUCAUGGAAGUGAACUCUUUAACCCUGACAGAGCUGGGGUUGUCUAUGUCAGGACUGUUGAGUAAAAAAUAGGAAUUUCUGGUCUUGGCUAAAGGGCCAGGGGACUCCUUCCUGGGGCCAAAUAAGGCAUGGCAGCUUGGAGGACAGCAUAGACUCAAAAGAGCAUUGACUGCACUAUUCAGAAUCAUUCAUUCGGUCAAGAUGUUUCUUGUAGGAAGCUCUUCCAAAACUCCUCAGGCCUCAGAGAAGUUAUAUUUCUCAGUGGCUUAGUAAGAGCUUGCAUCUCUGCUAGCAACUUACUUGGGUAAAUUAUCUCCCUCAGGUCUCAUCUACGAGAAUGGCAAUCACCAGCUCGGGUCAGCCAGGACGCUUAAAUGACCCGAUCAAUGCACAUGGAGUACUUUGCAUAGCACCCGUGAACGCGUGAGUCCUAAAAAGAUGGAAGUGGUCAUGAUGAUCCUUCUGUGGCUCCUUACAGGCUGGAUCCCUCCUUUCCAUUUUUCAUCUGUCUCAUACUGUGGUAUGACUGUUUCCAGGGUGUAUCUGUUUUCCUUAGAGUUCUUAACAGCUGGCAAAAGGCAAGGUUAAUGUCUAACAUGUCUGCCUCUACUCCUGUGCAGCUUAGCACGGUAAGGGUGAGGCAGAGGACAAGUGAGGAUAGAGUUACAAGGCAGCAAAGGGUUCGGAGGCUGAGAGAGGGGACGUCUGGUGAGAACAGAGGUGACAACUGGCUAGGACCUAGACGAAUGGGUUUGUCUUCCAGAAGCUGAGUAAUGGAAGCUCCAUCAUUUCCUUAUUCCAUUUGCAGUAGCACCCAUGUGUCUGUAAAUGGCACACUGCGGGGCCGACGAAAGAAAAAAUUCAGACAGAUAUCACUUGAGAGGCAAUCAUAUCCAAAGUCUUUAAAUCCAAUUUUUCCAGUACUCAUGCCUUGCCCAAAGAUGCCUGAAAGCUACCAUAGCAACGAGUUUACCAACUAACUUCCCACAGUUAAACUUUUUUUUUUUUUGAGAGACAGAAAGUGUGAGUGUAAGAGCUUGCGGGCAGCAGCGGGGAGGAGG
Long non-coding RNA from Ailuropoda melanoleuca (giant panda), 4727 nucleotides. RefSeq lists it as uncharacterized. NCBI's taxonomy places the organism in Eukaryota, Metazoa, Chordata, Mammalia, Carnivora, Ursidae. The transcript is spliced from 4 exons. The record is from RefSeq and is a predicted model, not a curated record.